AGGGAGUCACAUCACCUAGGUGAUAGACCCAGAGAUAUGUCACAAUGUGCUCCUUGAGGCAUGGCCCUACUGAAAGACUACCAUCAUCUGUGUGCCUAGACUAGCAAUAUGUCACUAUCCAGGACACAAUUGGAGAAACUGGUUGUUUUACCAAGGCCUUAACUGAAAGGGUAUGUUUCCCUUUGAGGAGUCAAGCUCAACUUGCAGAGCCAAUCAAAGCCCCCUGGGAAGACUGGCCUCAUACCUCAUCUACACAGUCCUUCUCUAUGGUUUCUGAUCAGUGCUUUGAAGGCAGAGAAAAAGAGCCAUGAGCCAAGGGUUGUGGGUGGCCUCCGAGAGCUAGAAUAUCCUAAUCUGACAGCCAGCAAGGAAAUGAGGACUUCAGUAGAAUAACCACGUGGAACUGAAAUUUACCAACCACCAGAGUGACCUUGGAAGUGGAUUCAUUCUUAGAACUCCCAGAAAGGAAUACAGCCUGCGUGACACUUCUAUUUCAGUACUGUGGCACUCUAAGCAGAGGACUCCACUGAACCACACUGUAUCCAUAAACAAGAAGUCUUUUAUGCAGCUGGUGUUUAUGGGAAUUGGAAAUUUUGACCUGUACAGCUGUGAGAUAAUAAAUGAGUGCUGUUUUAAGCCA
RNAcentral lists this long non-coding RNA (640 nucleotides) under Homo sapiens (human). RNAcentral describes it as "HSALNT0346455". Lineage: Eukaryota; Metazoa; Chordata; Mammalia; Primates; Hominidae. The record is from RNAcentral.